This 815-nucleotide long non-coding RNA is filed under the name Canis lupus familiaris (dog). Its description in RNAcentral is "lncRNA (ENSCAFG00845012270.1)". Lineage: Eukaryota; Metazoa; Chordata; Mammalia; Carnivora; Canidae. The record is from RNAcentral.
CACCUUUCCCGAGUGGCCUGUGAGGGUGUCUCCUCCUCCCUCGACCCUCAGCCUCCCUUGCCUUUUGGUCUGGCUCGCUCUCUUGGGCCAGAUGCACAACAAAUAACACAAAGCUUUGGAAGAGACUCCCUAAUUAGCUCAGGCUCUGGCCCAGAGGACUGCAUGGCUGUAUUUAACCACCUGGGAAGUGGCACUGGAAAGAUGCUGGCUCAGCGAUUUUGAACCUUAGAAAGCUGGAGCAAAGAAUACUGAAUGUUCUUUACUCAGAAGGAGCAGGUGUUUGAACUUCUCUGUAACCACAUUUUCCACCAUCCUUAAAUUCCUCUUACAUCUGAUCAAGAGAAGCAGUGAAGCAGAGCUGCAUAAAGGUGAGAACCAUGGCUCUGCUAUUAGUUGAAGUUGGGUAUUGGCUCUAAUUGGGCCCAUGGGGGCCACUUUCCAUGAACUUAGUUAUUGGAACAGCAGUGUUAUCCUGAGUAUUCUGUCCCCUGCCAUCUGCUACCAAAGGAUGUGUGCUUUGUUCUAGUAUUGGAUGAGGGAUAUUUGGACUCAGCCAGCUGAAUGUGGUAGGAAAUAUGCAUGUUGAAAGAGUCAGGUGAUAGAGUGGCUUGGUGUGGGGAUAGUAGUGAUUUGAGUUAGAGCAGAUGUCUAGGAAAAUCUAAUAAGUCGACUUCGACUAAUAAGUCGAAGUAAUUUUAGUUUAAAUCAUGCUAUUAAACAUAGAUUUUUAGUCAUGGACAAUAUUUUAAAAAUGAGUUACAAAGUCUUCUGCACGGCCUGUAGGAUCUGACCCCAUGUACCUCUCCUAUCUCCUC